ACUCAAAUGAAUUGACGGGGACCCGCACAAGCAGUGGAUCAUGUGGUUUAAUUCGACAAUAAACGGAGAACCUUACCCAGGCUUGACAUCCUACGAACCUGCUGGAAACAGCGGGGUGCCCGCAAGGGAAUGUAGAGACAGGCGCUGCAUGGUUGUCGUCAGCUCGUGCCUUGAGGUGUUCGGUUAAGUCCGUUAACGAGCGCAACCCACGUCGUUAGUUACUAUGUCUAACGAGACUGCCUGAGUUAAUCAGGAGGAAGGUGUGGAUGACGUCAAAUCAGCAUGGCCCUUAUGCCUGGGGCCACACACAUGAUACAAUGGUCGGUACAAAGAGCAGCAAAGAAGCGAUUCUAAGCCAAUCUCAGAAAGCCGAUCUCAGUCCAGAUUGGAGGCUGCAACUCGCCUCCAUGAAGUUGGAAUUGCUAGUAAUCGUGAAUCAGACAUGUCACGGUGAAUAUGUUCCCGGGUCUUGUACACACCGCCCGU
Molecule: ribosomal RNA, 486 nt
Filed under: uncultured bacterium
Lineage: Bacteria
Description: partial 16S ribosomal RNA
Rfam family: Bacterial small subunit ribosomal RNA
Source: RNAcentral